AGUGAACGCUGGCGGUAGGCCUAACACAUGCAAGUCGAACGGCAGCACAGUAAGAGCUUGCUCUUAAGGGUGGCGAGUGGCGGACGGGUGAGGAAUACAUCGGAAUCUACUUUUUCGUGGGGGAUAACACAGGGAAACUUACGCUAAUACCGCAUACGACCAACGGGUGAAAGCAGGGGAUCUUCGGACCUUGCGCGAUUGAAUUAGACGAUGUCGUAUUAGCUAAUUGGCGGUGUAAAGGCCCACCAAGGCGACGAUCCGUAGCUGGUCUGAGAGGAUGAGCAGCCACACUGGAACUGAGACACGGUCCAGACUCCUACGGGAGGCAGCAGUGGGGAAUAUUGGACAAUGGGCGCAAGCCUGAUCCAGCCAUACCGCGUGGGUGAAGAAGGCCUUCGGGUUGUAAAGCCCUUUUGUUGGGAAAGAAAAGCAGCAGGUUAAUACCCCGCUGUUCUGACGGUACCCAAAGAAUAAGCACCGGCUAACUUCGUG
RNAcentral lists this ribosomal RNA (492 nucleotides) under uncultured bacterium. RNAcentral's name for it is "partial 16S ribosomal RNA". It matches the Rfam family "Bacterial small subunit ribosomal RNA", at positions 29 to 507 of the family's 1533-position model. The record is from RNAcentral.